CCUACGGGAGGCAGCAGUGGGGAAUAUUGGGCAAUGGGGGGAACCCUGAUCCAGCCAUGCCGCGUGUGUGAAGAAGGCCCUCGGGUUGUAAAGCACUUUCAGUGAGGAAGAACGCCUGGUGGUUAAUACCCAUCAGGAAAGACAUCACUCACAGAAGAAGCACCGGCUAACUCCGUGCCAGCAGCCGCGGUAAUACGGAGGGUGCGAGCGUUAAUCGGAAUUACUGGGCGUAAAGCGCGCGUAGGUGGCUUGAUAAGCCGGUUGUGAAAGCCCCGGGCUCAACCUGGGAACGGCAUCCGGAACUGUCAAGCUAGAGUGCAGGAGAGGAAGGUAGAAUUCCCGGUGUAGCGGUGAAAUGCGUAGAGAUCGGGAGGAAUACCAGUGGCGAAGGCGGCCUUCUGGACUGACACUGACACUGAGGUGCGAAAGCGUGGGUAGCAAACAGGAUUAGAUACCCCUGUAGUC
Molecule: ribosomal RNA, 465 nt
Filed under: Vreelandella stevensii
Lineage: Bacteria; Pseudomonadati; Pseudomonadota; Gammaproteobacteria; Oceanospirillales; Halomonadaceae
Description: partial 16S ribosomal RNA
Rfam family: Bacterial small subunit ribosomal RNA
Source: RNAcentral